GUAGUCCAUGCCGUAAACGUUGGGCACUAGGUGUGGGGGACAUUCCACGUUUUCCGCGCCGUAGCUAACGCAUUAUGUGCCCCGCCUGGGGAGUACGGCCGCAAGGCUAAAACUCAAAGGAAUUGACGGGGGCCCGCACAAGCGGCGGAGCAUGCGGAUUAAUUCGAUGCAACGCGAAGAACCUUACCAAGGCUUGACAUGAACCGGAAACACCUGGAAACAGGUGCCCCGCUUGCGGUCGGUUUACAGGUGGUGCAUGGUUGUCGUCAGCUCGUGUCGUGAGAUGUUGGGUUAAGUCCCGCAACGAGCGCAACCCUCGUUCUAUGUUGCCAGCGCGUUAUGGCGGGGACUCAUAGGAGACUGCCGGGGUCAACUCGGAGGAAGGUGGGGACGACGUCAAAUCAUCAUGCCCCUUAUGUCUUGGGCUUCACGCAUGCUACAAUGGCCGGUACAAAGGGUUGCGAUACUGUGAGGUGGAGCUAAUCCCAAAAAGCCGGUCUCAGUUCGGAUUGGGGUCUGCAACUCGACCCCAUGAAGUCGGAGUCGCUAGUAAUCGCAGAUCAGCAACGCUGCGGUGAAUA
This 581-nucleotide ribosomal RNA is filed under the name uncultured Arthrobacter sp. RNAcentral describes it as "bacterial SSU rRNA". It matches the Rfam family "Bacterial small subunit ribosomal RNA", at positions 790 to 1368 of the family's 1533-position model. The record is from RNAcentral. Lineage: Bacteria; Bacillati; Actinomycetota; Actinomycetes; Micrococcales; Micrococcaceae.